Molecule: ribosomal RNA, 255 nt
Filed under: uncultured bacterium
Lineage: Bacteria
Description: partial 16S ribosomal RNA
Rfam family: Bacterial small subunit ribosomal RNA
Source: RNAcentral
UACGUAGGGGCCUAGCGUUGUCCGGAUUUAUUGGGCGUAAAGAGCUCGUAGGUGGCGGGUCACGUCGGGUGUGAAAGCCCGGGGCUUAACCCCGGGUCUGCAUUCGAUACGGGCUUGCUAGGGUCCGGCAGGGGGAGACUGGAAUUCCUGGUGUAGCGGUGAAAUGCGCAGAUAUCAGGAGGAACACCGGUGGCGAAGGCGGGUCUCUGGGCCGGUACCGACGCUGGAGGAGCGAAAGCGUGGGGAGCGAACAGG